Coemansia sp. Benny D160-2 is the source of this 99-nucleotide non-coding RNA. NCBI's taxonomy places the organism in Eukaryota, Fungi, Kickxellomycota, Kickxellomycetes, Kickxellales, Kickxellaceae. The record is from the annotation of a GenBank genome assembly.
GCUCCAUUAGCUCAGCUGGUUAGAGCAUCGUGCUUAUAAUUUGGUCAAAGUUAUGCUAAAGUCACGCGGAUGUCGCCAGUUCGAUCCUGGCAUGGAGCA